AUUAAAAUAGUUUAAAGAAAAUAGUGAUUUGUGGAAUCAAAGAUUAAUGAUUAUUUUAAUU
RNAcentral lists this transfer RNA (61 nucleotides) under Cacopsylla citrisuga. RNAcentral describes it as "tRNA-His". The record is from RNAcentral. Lineage: Eukaryota; Metazoa; Arthropoda; Insecta; Hemiptera; Psyllidae.